GGGCGUUUAGCGCAGUGGUAGCGCGUAUGCUUUGCAAAUUCGAACGAAUUCUCUUGGAUUGCUCCUGAUUCAAGAGGAUUCGUUGGGAUUACGUGUGUAUAAGGUCCAGGGUUCAAUCCCCUGAACGUCCA
Non-coding RNA from Marasmius fiardii PR-910, 131 nucleotides. The record is from the annotation of a GenBank genome assembly. Lineage: Eukaryota; Fungi; Basidiomycota; Agaricomycetes; Agaricales; Marasmiaceae.